This 253-nucleotide ribosomal RNA is filed under the name uncultured bacterium. RNAcentral describes it as "partial 16S ribosomal RNA". It matches the Rfam family "Bacterial small subunit ribosomal RNA", at positions 524 to 776 of the family's 1533-position model. The record is from RNAcentral.
GACAGAGGGUGCAAACGUUGCUCGGAUUGACUGGGCGUAAAGCGCGUGUAGGUGGUCUCGCCAGUCAGGUGUGAAAGCCCAGGGCUCAACCCUGGAAGUGCACCUGAUACUACGAGGCUUGAGUUCUGUAGAGGAGAGCGGAAUUCCCGAUGUAGAGGUGAAAUUCGUAGAUAUCGGGAGGAACACCAGUGGCGAAGGCGGCUCUCUGGACAGGUACUGACACUGAGACGCGAAAGCGUGGGUAGCAAACAGG